Molecule: ribosomal RNA, 226 nt
Filed under: uncultured bacterium
Lineage: Bacteria
Description: partial 16S ribosomal RNA
Rfam family: Bacterial small subunit ribosomal RNA
Source: RNAcentral
GCGUUGCUCGGAAUGACUGGGCGUAAAGGGCGCGUAGGCGGAUGGUACAGUCAGAUGUGAAAUUCCCGGGCUUAACCUGGGGGCUGCAUUUGAUACGUAUUGUCUUGAGUUCGGAAGAGGGUCGUGGAAUUUCCAGUGUAGAGGUGAAAUUCGUAGAUAUUGGAAAGAACACCGGUGGCGAAGGCGGCGACCUGGUCCGACACUGACGCUGAGGCGCGAAAGCGUG